GGCUCCGUAGCUCAGGGGAUAGAGCGGCCGCCUCCUAAGCGGCAGGUCGAUGGUUCGAAUCCAUCCGGGGUCA
This 73-nucleotide transfer RNA is filed under the name Gemmobacter megaterium. Its description in RNAcentral is "Catellibacterium sp. CF17 tRNA". It matches the Rfam family "tRNA". Rfam says of the family: Transfer RNA (tRNA) molecules are approximately 80 nucleotides in length. The record is from Rfam by way of RNAcentral. Lineage: Bacteria; Pseudomonadati; Pseudomonadota; Alphaproteobacteria; Rhodobacterales; Paracoccaceae. RNAcentral also lists the same sequence under 2 other names.